AGUAUUGGUAAAUGAAAGUACUUGUGGUUUCUUUGGGAGUUUGAGAGGCUUGAGACAAGUGGAUCCUUUAUCUCCUAUGUUUUUAUUUAGGUAAUCGAAGCUUGGAGAAAGAUAAUGGACAGAGCAGUUAGCAGAGGUCUUCUGAAGGUCUUUAAUGCUUCAUUUAAAGGGCAGAGUAACGUGACCAUUACAAAUAUGUUGUUCGUAGAUGAUAUUUUGAUAUUUUGUGAUGCAGAUGUCCCAGUCUAAUUUUUUGAGACAGGUCCUUAUCUAGGUUCAGGAGUAAAGAUCAAUCUUAGCAAAUGUGAAGUCACACCAGUGGGAGCAGUAAAUAAUAUUGAGGAAAUUGCGCAAGAGUUGAAUUGCAAGUGAGGAAUCUACCUUCUACAUAUCUGGAACUGCUUUUGGGAGCUUCUAGCAAAGAUCUCUGAUCUUGGGCGUAUUUAUACGUAAAAAUGCCAAGAAUUACCCAUAAUAGGACUUGUUCUAUGAACUAAAAUGUGUUAUUCCUCUUGUGUUUGAUCUAUAAUUGCAUUCCUUAUCUAAUGUACAUGAUUAGUUGAUACAGGGCUAAAUUGUGAUGAAAUUGGACGUAAUCGGAUGCAUUAAUGUGAAGCUAAUGAUGAAUGGAAACAUUGGGAGUGAUUUGCUGAGCAUGAGGAUACUGGAUUGAUCUCAAAACACAUGGAAAUAAAGAUGGAAUCAAGGAAAGAGGCAACGAGCUUGUGACACCUCCCACUUUAAGCUUAAGUCAUAGUUGUAAGUGGAGGUGUUAUGGCUGCAUAAUUGAUCUUGUUGUGCUUUAAAUUUUGUUGGAAAUCUACUUGGAAUGAUUCAUGUAUGUUUUGGGGGUUAUAGGGGUGUAAAUCAUAGCUGGGGAAUAAAGAUUUAACUAUUGCAUCAUCGCAACAGUACAAGGGAAGGAAGAAGGGCUGCAAGCAGCGGGCUACUGCCAGGAAGCCCCUCAAAGGGCAUUUUUGUCCUUUCCUUUUUACCUAAAACCCCAAAUGAUUAUAUCCCCUUCUCCAUCAGUUUCGUACAUUUUUUUAUGAUCCUUCAUGUUUUAAAUCAUCAGUUUCAUCCAUCAGCUUAACAAGUUAAAAAACUCCCUGCCCCAUCAAUUUCACACAUCUCCUUCUCCAUCACCUUCACACAUCUCUUUCUCUAUGAGUUCACAUGUCUCAUUCUCCAUGAGUUUUAUUUAAUAUUCCAUCACUGAAUAUUCCUUUUCCUCUUCUCAAAUGCUGCUAUAAUAAUCUCAAGAGAAUUGGUUCAACAAAACAAAUUCACAUCUCCUCUUCCGAUCUCAAGUUUUUCAAUGCUUAGAGGUUCUGGAUCUCAAGUCCGUGGUCAAACACCUUAUUAGGAUCCGCCGUUUGUGAGCCUCUUUUCUACCAGGAAGCUGGACGAGAUAUGCUGACUUCUUUAUAUUUUCUUUCCUUUCAGUAUUGGUACUUAUUAGAGGUUUCACAAGCUGGUGUAGUUAUCAAACAAACUUUGUAAUUUUCAGUCUUUAUUCAUUUUAACUAUUAGUAUUGUUUAAUAUUAAGUUGUGUUAAUAAACCUUUAUGAUAAUAUUUAUCUUUUGAGAAAUCUUAUUUCAAUC
This is a long non-coding RNA of Capsicum annuum, 1606 nucleotides long. RefSeq lists it as uncharacterized. The record is from RefSeq and is a predicted model, not a curated record. Lineage: Eukaryota; Viridiplantae; Streptophyta; Magnoliopsida; Solanales; Solanaceae. The transcript is spliced from 2 exons.